UAGGGAAUCUUCGGCAAUGGGGGGAACCCUGACCGAGCAACGCCGCGUGAGUGAAGAAGGUUUUCGGAUCGUAAAGCUCUGUUGUUAAGGAAGAACGAGUGUGAGAAUGGAAAGUUCAUGCUGUGACGGUACUUAACCAGAAAGGGACGGCUAACUACGUGCCAGCAGCCGCGGUAAUACGUAGGUCCCGAGCGUUGUCCGGAUUUAUUGGGCGUAAAGCGAGCGCAGGCGGUUAGAAAAGUCUGAAGUGAAAGGCAGUGGCUCAACCAUUGUAGGCUUUGGAAACUGUUUAACUUGAGUGCAGAAGGGGAGAGUGGAAUUCCAUGUGUAGCGGUGAAAUGCGUAGAUAUAUGGAGGAACACCAGUGGCGAAGGCGACUCUCUGGUCUGUAACUGACGCUGAGGCUCGAAAGCGUGGGGAGCGAACAGG
RNAcentral lists this ribosomal RNA (429 nucleotides) under Bacteroidota bacterium. RNAcentral's name for it is "Bacteroidetes bacterium partial 16S ribosomal RNA". It matches the Rfam family "Bacterial small subunit ribosomal RNA", at positions 355 to 776 of the family's 1533-position model. The record is from RNAcentral. Lineage: Bacteria; Pseudomonadati; Bacteroidota.